This 450-nucleotide ribosomal RNA is filed under the name uncultured bacterium. RNAcentral's name for it is "bacterial SSU rRNA". It matches the Rfam family "Bacterial small subunit ribosomal RNA", at positions 97 to 520 of the family's 1533-position model. The record is from RNAcentral.
GGCGCACGGGUGAGUAACACGUAGGUAAUUUGCCUUCGGGUGGGGAAUAACAGCCGGAAACGGCUGCUAAUACCGCAUAAUGCAGCGGCUCGACAUCGAGACAGUUGUUAAAGCGGGGGAUUCGCAAGAACCUCGCGCCUGAAGAGAAGCCUGCGGCAGAUUAGCUAGUUGGUAGGGUAAUGGCCUACCAAGGCGACGAUCUGUAACCUGGCCUGAGAGGGCGGUCGGUCACACUGACACUGACAUACGGGUCAGACUCCUACGGGAGUGCAGCAGUCGGGAAUUUUGGGCAAUGGGCGAAAUGCCUGACCCAGCAACGCCGCGUGAAGGAUGAAAUCCCUCGGGAUGUAAACUUCGCAAGAACUGGGACAGAAUAAGUAGAAGCUAAUACCUUCUAUGAUGACGGUACCAUUUGUAAGCUCCGGCUAACUCCGGUGCCAGCCGCCGCGG